CGACGAUCAGUAGCCGGACUGAGAGGUUGAUCGGCCACAUUGGGACUGAGACACGCCCCAGACUCCUACGGGAGGCAGCAGUGGGGAAUAUUGGACAAUGGGGGAAACCCUUAUCCAGCGACGCCGCGUGAGGGAAGAAGGUUUUCGGAUUGUAAACCUCUGUCAGUGGGGACGAUAAUGACGGUACCCACGGAGGAAGCCACGGCUAACUACGUGCCAGCAGCCGCGGUAAUACGUAGGUGGCAAGCGUUGUCCGGAAUUACUGGGUGUAAAGGGAGCGUAGGCGGGAUGUCAAGUCAGAAGUGAAAAUUAUGGGCUCAACUCAUAACCUGCUUUUGAAACUGAUAUUCUUGAGUGAAGUAGAGGCAAGCGGAAUUCCUAGUGUAGCGGUGAAAUGCGUAGAUAUUAGGAGGAACACCAGUGGCGAAGGCGGCUUGCUGGGCUUUUACUGACGCUGAGGCUCGAAAGCGUGGGGAGCAAACAGGAUUAGAUACCCUGGUAGUCCACGCUGUAAACGAUGAUUACUAGGUGUGGGGGGAUUGAACCCUUCC
RNAcentral lists this ribosomal RNA (551 nucleotides) under uncultured bacterium. RNAcentral describes it as "bacterial SSU rRNA". It matches the Rfam family "Bacterial small subunit ribosomal RNA", at positions 274 to 842 of the family's 1533-position model. The record is from RNAcentral.